AGCGUACACGGGGGAUGCCUUGGCACCAACUGCCGAAGAAGGGCGUGGCAAGACUGCGAUAAGCCUCGGUUAGUCGUCUAGCUGACUUAACCGGGGAUUCCCGAAUGGGGUAACCCAAUUCACUAAAUGUGAAUUAUCUUUGAGCUAACCCUUAAUUCAAAGAAGGUAAGCAGGGGAACUGAAACAUCUAAGUACCCUGAGGAAGAGAAAUCAAAAGAGAUUCCCGUAGUAGUGGCGAACGAAAUGGGAAUAGCCUAAACCAUAGAGGCUUCACGGCUUUGGGGCCCAUGUCUUUAUGGGGUUGUAAGAAGUAUGUGUUGAGUCCCAUAACUCAACGAGGAGUAAGAAAACCAUUUUCUAUUCGAAUGUUCCUGGAACGGACUGCCAGAGAAGGUGAGAGCCCGGUAGAUUAAAGGAAAUGGUCUCCUUAUUACUGUCUUAAGUAGAGCGGGACACGAGAAAUCUUGCUUGAAUCAGGGGGGACCAUCCUCCAAGGCUAAAUACAGUUGGUGACCGAUAGUGAACUAGUACCGUGAGGGAAAGGUGAAAAGUACCCCGAGAGGGGAGUGAAAUAGACCUGAAACCGUGUACGUACAAACAGUCGAAGUAUCGAUUUAUCGAUAUGACGGCGUGCCUUUUGAAGAAUGAACCUGCGAGUUACUGGGACGUGGCAAGGUUAAUCUGCUCAGCAGAGGAGCCGAAGCGAAAGCGAGUCUGAAUAGGGCAUUCAGUCGCGUUCCGUAGACCCGAAACCAGGCGAGCUACCCAUGGCCAGGUUGAAGCUCAGAUAGUCUCUGAGUGAAGGACCGAACCCAUUUCAAGUACAAAUGGAUGGGAUGAGUUGUGGGUAGAGGUGAAAUGCCAAUCGAGCUUGGAAAUAGCUGGUUCUCCCCGAAAUGCAUUUAGGUGCAGCGUUGAAGAUUGACUUAAGGAGGUAAGGCUCUGGAUGGGUCAGGGGGUGCAAACUUACCGAUCCCAACCAAACCAAGAAUGCCUUAAGCUCGUACUUCAGCAGUGAGACAGUGGGGGAUAAGCUCCAUUGUCGAGAGGGAAACAGCCCAGACCACCGUCUAAGGUCCCCAAGUAUAUACUCAGUGUGAAAGGAAGUUGAAUCGCCAAAACAGCCAGGAGGUUGGCUUAGAAGCAGCCACCCUUUAAAGAGUGCGUAAUAGCUCACUGGUCGAGGGGUUCUGCGCCGACAAUUUAACGGGGCUUAAGUAUAUCACCGAAGACGUGGCAUCAGUUUACUGAUGGGUAGGGGAGCGUUCUGUAGGCAGUGAAGUCUAGUUGUAAAGCUAGGUGGAGCGUACAGAAGUGAGAAUGCAGGUAUGAGUAGCGUAUAUCUCGGUGAGAAUCCGAGACGUCGAAAAUCUAAGGUUUCCUACGCAACGUUUAUCGACGUAGGGUUAGUCGGUCCUAAGGUGUAUCCGAAAGGAGUAACCGAUGGACAGUAGGUCAAAAUUCCUACACCACCUAAUAUUCGUUUUAAUACAAAGGGGGGACACGGAAAGGUAGGCUGAGCGUACCCAUUGGACAUGGUGCGUUCUUCUUUGAAGGCCAUCUCGCAAGACAUGUAAAUCAGUUAGCGAGGUUAUGAGCUGAGGAAGGAGAGAACUCUAGGGCUCGCCCUGGGGAAUUUGGUUGAACCUAUGCCGUCAAGAAAAGCCUCGUUGUAAGGGUAAUGGGUGACCGUACCCCAAACCGACACUGGUAGAUGAGCAUGAAAGUGCUAAGACGGUCGAGAGAACUCUGGUUAAGGAACUCGGCAAAAGGACCCCGUAACUUCGGGAUAAGGGGUUCCCUCGGGGUGAAGUCUAUUUACUAGACCAGCUCUAGAGGGACACAGCAAAUUGGCCCAAGCGACUGUUUAUCAAAAACACAGGUCUCUGCUAAGGGGUAACCCUAGGUAUAGAGGCUGACGCCUGCCCAGUGCCGGAAGGUUAAAGGGAAAGGUUAUCCGUAAGGAGAAGCUUUGAACUGAAGCCCCGGUGAACGGCGGCCGUAACUAUAACGGUCCUAAGGUAGCGAAGUCCCUUGUCGGGUAAGUUCCGACCCGCACGAAUGGCGUAACGACUUCA
Molecule: ribosomal RNA, 2078 nt
Filed under: Chloroflexota bacterium
Lineage: Bacteria; Bacillati; Chloroflexota
Description: bacterial LSU rRNA
Rfam family: Bacterial large subunit ribosomal RNA
Source: RNAcentral